Molecule: ribosomal RNA, 253 nt
Filed under: uncultured bacterium
Lineage: Bacteria
Description: partial 16S ribosomal RNA
Rfam family: Bacterial small subunit ribosomal RNA
Source: RNAcentral
UACGAACCGUGCGAACGUUGUUCGGAAUCACUGGGCUUAAAGGGCGCGUAGGCGGGUGACCAAGUCCGGGGUGAAAUCUUUCGGCUCAACCGGAAAAUAGCCUUGGAUACUGGUCGUCUGGAGGGAGGUAGGGGCAUGUGGAACUUCCGGUGGAGCGGUGAAAUGUGUUGAUAUCGGAAGGAACGCCGGUGGCGAAAGCGACGUGCUGGACCUCUUCUGACGCUGAGGCGCGAAAGCUAGGGGAGCGAACGGG